CCUACGGGAGGCAGCAGUGAGGAAUAUUGGUCAAUGGCCGUAAGGCUGAACCAGCCAAGUAGCGUGCGGGAUGACGGCCCUAUGGGUUGUACACCUCUUUUAUACGGGAAUAAAGCUCUUCACGUGUGGGUGUUUGCAUGUACCGCAUGAAUAAGGACCGGCUAAUUCCGUGCCAGCAGCCGCGGUGAUACGGAAGGUCCGGGCGUUAUCCGGAUUUAGUGGGUUUAAAGGGAGCGUAGGCCGGGUGUUAAGCGUGCCGUGAAAUUUUCGGGCUCAACCCGGUCCGUGCAGCGCGAAGUGGAGACAUUGAGUGCGCGGAAGGCAGGCGGAAUGCGUGGUGUAGCGGUGAAAUGCUUAGAUAGCACGAAGAACCCCGAUUGCGAAGGCAGCUUGCCGCAGCGGUACUGACGCUGAAGCUCGAAAGCGCGGGUAUCGAACAGGAUUAGAUACCCGAGUAGUC
This 460-nucleotide ribosomal RNA is filed under the name uncultured bacterium. RNAcentral's name for it is "partial 16S ribosomal RNA". It matches the Rfam family "Bacterial small subunit ribosomal RNA", at positions 338 to 795 of the family's 1533-position model. The record is from RNAcentral.